ACAGGCUAGUCACGCCCAAGAGUUCAUAUCGACGGCGUGGCUCGGCACCUCGAUGUCGGCUCAUCGCAUCCUGGGGCUGAAUAAGGUCCCAAGGGUCGGGCUGUUCGCCCGUUAAAGCGGUACGCGAGCUGGGUUCAGACCGUCGUGAGACAGGUCGGUCUCUAUCCGCUGUGGGCGUAAGGGACUUGAAGGGAGCUGCCCCUAGUACGAGAGGACCGGGGUGGACAGACCUAUGGUGUGCCAGUUGUCGUGCCAACGGCAUCGCUGGGUAGCCACGUCUGGCAGAGAUAACCGCUGAAAGCAUCUAAGUGGGAAACUCGCCCUAAGAUUAGGUCCCUCAUCCCGUCAAGGGAGUAAGGCCGCAGGAAGACUACCUGCUUGAUAGGCGGCAUGUGUAAGCACAGCAAUGUGUUCAGCUAAGCCGUACUAAUGGCCGAGGGCUUGAUUGAACACGUAGGAUCCGAGCGUUAUCCGGAUUUACUGGGCGUAAAGCGCGUGCAGGCGGUUUGGUAAGUUGGAUGUUAAAGCUCCUGGCUCAACUGGGAGAGGCCGUUCAAAACUACCAGACUAGAGGGCGACAGAGGGAGGUGGAAUUCCCGGUGUAGUGGUGAAAUGCGUAGAUAUCGGGAGGAACACCAGUGGCGAAGGCGGCCUCCUGGAUCGUUCCUGACGCUCAGACGCGAAAGCUAGGGUAGCAAACGGGAUUAGAAACCCCGGUAGUCCUAGUCGUAAACGAUGUGAACUUGGUGUUGGUGGCGUAAAAACCAUCAGUGCCGAAGCUAACGCGAUAAGUUCACCGCCUGGGGAUUACGACCGCAAGGUUAAAACUCAAAGGAAUUGACGGGGACCCGCACAAGCAGCGGAGCGUGUGGUUUAAUUCGAGCCUACGCGAAGAACCUUACCUGGGUUUGACAUGCAGGUGGUAGGGAUCCGAAAGGUGACCGACCCCUCGGGGAGCCUGCACAGGUGCUGCAUGGCUGUCGUCAGCUCGUGCCGUGAGGUGCCCGGUUAAGUCCGGUAACGAGCGCAACCCUUACCGUAUGUUACAAGUGUCAUGCGGGACUGCCGGUGUAAAGCCGGAGGAAGGUGGGGACGACGUCAAGUCAGCAUGGCCUUUAUAUCCAGGGCUACACACACGCUACAAUGGUCGGUACAAUGGGUCGCAAAACCGCGAGGUGAAGCCAAUCCUCAAAGCCGAUCUCAGUUCGGAUUGCAGGCUGCAACUCGCCUGCAUGAAGCCGGAGUUGCUAGUAACCGCGCGUCAGCAACAGUGCGGUGAAUACGUUCCCGGGUCUUGUACACACCGCCCGUCACGU
This 1316-nucleotide ribosomal RNA is filed under the name metagenome. Its description in RNAcentral is "bacterial SSU rRNA". The stretch from base 442 to 1316 matches the Rfam family "Bacterial small subunit ribosomal RNA". The record is from RNAcentral.